Molecule: long non-coding RNA, 606 nt
Organism: Triticum aestivum (bread wheat)
Lineage: Eukaryota; Viridiplantae; Streptophyta; Magnoliopsida; Poales; Poaceae
Exons: 4
Source: RefSeq, a predicted model, not a curated record
CACCGCGCGCCGCCCGCCGCCGUCGCGCGUUGCCCGCCCGCCGCCGCCGCAGCGUGCCGCCGGUCGCGCUCGCAGCCGCCCCGCUCGGCGCACCCACCUCGCUCGAGGUUGGGCGAGCGCGGAAGUAGAGUUCGGGACGGCGGAUCGGAAUCCAUCGACCGAUUCUCUCUUUCUCUCCUCUCCCUUGGAUUCCUGUAGGCGGUGGAUCAAUCUUGCCUUCGUGGUGGCGGCAGAACGAGCGCCGUGAGAUCAGGUGGACCUGCUUCUGAUUCCUCCUGGUGCUUGGGACGUUUUCGGCUAGAUUGAUUUACUAGCUACGUCCAAGCAGGCCACUGGAUUGAUUUCAUGAGGCUUACUAGCUACGUCCCAAUCAAGAUAGCUAGACUUACUAGCUACGUCCCAAGCAGGCCAAUCCAAUAUGUUGAUCAAUUUGAUUGUUCUGGCUGGAGGUCAGGAGGUCAGAAGUGCACUGCGGGAGCGUGUACUGCGACUAUUUCUGCACUGCCGAGGAAGGCUUGAUCUUUCCCACAGAAGCUCGCUUCGAGGUCUUGGUGUGGGGCUGCUGGGGAAGGGAAUGUCCUUCUACUUAGUGAAAGUCGUUGUUGC